Non-coding RNA from Pangasianodon gigas (Mekong giant catfish), 73 nucleotides. NCBI's taxonomy places the organism in Eukaryota, Metazoa, Chordata, Actinopteri, Siluriformes, Pangasiidae. The record is from the annotation of a GenBank genome assembly.
GGCACGAUGGCUUAGUGGUUAGCAUGCCUGCCUCGCAUCUCCAGGGCUGGGGGUUCGACUCCCGCCUCUGCCC